ACGAACGUUGGCGGCGUGGAUUAGGCAUGCAAGUCGAACGAAUCUUGCUCGUGUAGCAAUACAUGAGCAAGAAGAGUGGCGAAAGGGGCAGUAAUGUUUGGAUAACCUACCCUGAGGUCGUGGAUAGCCUUCCUAACGGAUGGGUAAUACACGGCGUUGUACUGAAGAGGCAUCUCUUUGUUACCAAAGAAUUUCGCCUCAGGAGGGGUCCAAAUGAUAUUAGCUAGUUGGUGAGGUAACGGCUCACCAAGGCAUAGAUGUCUAGCGGGUGUGAGAGCACGACCCGCGUCACUGGCACUGAGACACUGGCCAGACUCCUACGGGAGGCUGCAGUCGAGGAUCUUUGGCAAUGGACGCAAGUCUGACCAAGCGACGCCGCGUGUGCGAUGAAGGCCUUCGGGUUGUAAAGCACUGUCGAGAGGGAGAAAGCCGCAAGGUUGAUCUAUCUCUGGAGGAAGC
This 459-nucleotide ribosomal RNA is filed under the name uncultured bacterium. RNAcentral describes it as "bacterial SSU rRNA". It matches the Rfam family "Bacterial small subunit ribosomal RNA", at positions 29 to 491 of the family's 1533-position model. The record is from RNAcentral.